This 801-nucleotide ribosomal RNA is filed under the name uncultured fungus. RNAcentral describes it as "eukaryotic LSU rRNA". The stretch from base 249 to 402 matches the Rfam family "5.8S ribosomal RNA". The record is from RNAcentral. Lineage: Eukaryota; Fungi.
CGUAACAAGGUUUCCGUAGGGAACCUGCGGAAGGAUCAUUAUCGUAUAACCGAGGGCUGGGGCUGUCGCUGACCUUUUAAAAAGUGUUGUGCACGCCCAAAGUGCACUCUUGCAUCCAUCUCACCCCUUUGUGCAUCACCGCGUGGGCCCCCCUUUUUGUUUUAGGGAGGUUUGCGUUUUUAUACACAUACCCUUUUCAAUGCAUGUAUAGAAUGUCCCUACUUUUUGCGAUUACAUGCAAUCAAUACAACUUUCAACAACGGAUCUCUUGGCUCUCGCAUCGAUGAAGAACGCAGCGAAAUGCGAUACGUAAUGUGAAUUGCAGAAUUCAGUGAAUCAUCGAAUCUUUGAACGCACCUUGCGCCCCUUGGUAUUCCGAGGGGCACACCCGUUUGAGUGUCGUGAACACCCUCAAACCUUUCUUGGUUUUAUUUUGGCCGGGAAAGGCUUGGACUUUGGAGGUUUUUCUUUGCUGGUCUCCUUUGAAAGCCAGCUCCUCCUAAAUGAAUUAGUGGGGAUCCGCUUUGCUGACCCUUGACGUGAUAAGUCUACUUUCUACGUCUUGGGUUUCGCAAUGUGUCAUCUUUGGGACCCACUUUUAACCGUCUUUGAAUGAAGACAAAUGUUCGAGUUGUGACUCGACCCAUAAACCUUGACCUCAAAUCGGGUGAGACUACCCGCUGAACUUAAGCAUAUCAAUAAGCGGAGGAAAAGAAACUAACAAGGAUUCCCCUAGUAACUGCGAGUGAAGCGGGAAAAGCUCAAAUUUAAAAUCUGGUGGCCUUUGGCCAUCCGAGUUGU